RNAcentral lists this ribosomal RNA (408 nucleotides) under uncultured microorganism. Its description in RNAcentral is "bacterial SSU rRNA". It matches the Rfam family "Bacterial small subunit ribosomal RNA", at positions 509 to 917 of the family's 1533-position model. The record is from RNAcentral.
CAGCCGCCGCGGUAAUACGUAGGGUGCGAGCGUUAAUCGGAAUUACUGGGCGUAAAGCGUGCGCAGGCGGUUAUGUAAGACAGAUGUGAAAUCCCCGGGCUCAACCUGGGAACUGCAUUUGUGACUGCAUGGCUAGAGUAAGGUAGAGGGGGAUGGAAUUCCGCGUGUAGCAGUGAAAUGCGUAGAUAUGCGGAGGAACACCGAUGGCGAAGGCAAUCCCCUGGACCUGUACUGACGCUCAUGCACGAAAGCGUGGGGAGCAAACAGGAUUAGAUACCCUGGUAGUCCACGCCCUAAACGAUGUCAACUGGUUGUUGGGAAUUAGUUUUCUCAGUAACGAAGCUAACGCGUGAAGUUGACCGCCUGGGGAGUACGGCCGCAAGGUUGAAACUUAAAGGAAUUGGCGGG